RNAcentral lists this ribosomal RNA (215 nucleotides) under uncultured fungus. Its description in RNAcentral is "partial small subunit ribosomal RNA". The stretch from base 47 to 215 matches the Rfam family "Eukaryotic small subunit ribosomal RNA", at positions 693 to 864 of the family's 1831-position model. Lineage: Eukaryota; Fungi. The record is from RNAcentral.
GGAUCAGUUCGCUGGUCGUGCCUCUGGUAUGUACUGGUGUUACUGGUUCCUCCCUUCUGACGAACUGUCAUGUCAUUUAUUUGGUGUGGCAGGGAAUCAGGACUGUUACUUUGAAAAAAUUAGAGUGUUUAAAGCAGGCUUACGCUUGAAUACAUUAGCAUGGAAUAAUAAAAUAGGACUUUGGUUUUAUUUUGUUGGUUUUCGAGACUGAAGUA